Molecule: long non-coding RNA, 667 nt
Filed under: Phoenix dactylifera (date palm)
Lineage: Eukaryota; Viridiplantae; Streptophyta; Magnoliopsida; Arecales; Arecaceae
Description: long non-coding RNA (PDAC_LNC018278)
Source: RNAcentral
UGUGUGACCCCAUAGGUUCUACUCUGACUGGUAGUGAGAUAUAUUGUGAUCUCUAUCUCAAUAUCAUUGAAAACUCCUUUCAAUGGGUUGGAACGAUUCCAACUCAACUCGUUGGGGUUUAUCGAUCAUCAAGAUAAUCCCUAUGAGUCCCACCAUCCACCAGUGACACCUAGCAGCAUGUAGUGGCUACCCAGCAGAAUGAAAUGAUGAACCUCUAGGUGCAGUUAACAUGUGAUACAGUCCUACUAUCGUGGAUCCCUACAGGACGGAGGUCAUAGACAACUCGUCAAACCCCAUCGUCUGUCAUAUGUCAAGAUUUAUUCGACUUGAGUUCGAUAGUGGAAAACUCUUUUUCCACUUUAUAUUACUGCCCUGGCCAAGGUCUUAGAACUCAGUCUAACAAAUCACAUAGGAUCACUCCUCUUCUAUCAAGGUCGAUAGAUUCCUUAUUGGUGCAUACCCUACUCCUACAGUGAACCUACUGCAGCCAAUCUACACUGCAUGGACCCAUAUGGCUAGAGACCAUGUAUGUGUGCAGUCAAACUACAAUAACCUCAUUGUGAGUAGCCGAAGCACCGCAGGUCAAAGGACCAGUCACACUACUGCAACAUCAAGCAAGUCACUGACGAGUGGAUAGACAUCCAAGUGACUUCUUGUCUUGGUCACG